This 245-nucleotide ribosomal RNA is filed under the name uncultured bacterium. RNAcentral's name for it is "partial small subunit ribosomal RNA". It matches the Rfam family "Bacterial small subunit ribosomal RNA", at positions 26 to 285 of the family's 1533-position model. The record is from RNAcentral.
AGAAUCAACGCUGGCGGCGUGCCUAACACAUGCAAGUCGAACGAGAAAGGGGAGCAAUCCCUGAGUACAGUGGCGACCGGGUGAGUAACACGUGACUACCUACCCUUGAGUGGGGGAUAACUCCGGGAAACCGGGGCUAAUACCGCAUAAUAUCGAGAGAUCAAAAGGAGCAAUUCGCUCUUGGAGGGAGUCGCGGCUGAUUAGCUAGUUGGUAGGGUAAUGGCCUACCAAGGCGAAGAUCGGUA